ACGCUGGAUGCCUGUCCAUACAGUAUGUCAUAUAAUUGCUAACAAUUAAUGUCUCCUUUCUGCAUUUUGAUUAAUGGAGUUUUGCAGGCAAACUUGAAACAUUUAUUUUGAAAAUUACAGAUUGAAUGCUAAUAUUUUGACUAAUUUUGAAGCAUAGUUGCCAAAUAGAGAUUCAAGGCAGGAAAUGAAAUCCUGAUUUGUUAAUCUAGAAUUGAAUAUAUUGCAAAAUUUGGUACAAAUUCUUAAAAGCAAUUAAAUUCGGUAGUACAUAUUUUCAAAAUCAACUUAAAAUUGCAUACGUCAAUGUAAAGAAUCAAAAUAUGAAAUAUUCGAUAAUUAUAUUAUUAUAUAGUCUUACAGAAAAAAAAAAAAUUAAUAUACUAAGGUUUAGUUUCAAUUAAUGUUAUGACAUAAAAAAUGUUAGAUUUGAACGUGAAGCAAUUAAAGUUUUCAAUUUAAUCCCUGACAAUCUUUUCCUCAAAUGCCUUUUAAUUUAUCAAUGAAAGUGUUUAAAGGACGUCUUUAUCAAGUAUAGCAAUUUUAAGUUAAAAUUUUAAUAGACAACAACAAUUACAAUGUGAAAUAAAGUUAUAAUUUUUGGUCUCAGAUCUAAAAAUUUUAUCAAAACCUUCUUACAUGAUACUCUACUGUUUCAUGCAAACUACAGGUCAAAUUAAAUGUUGUGUAUGUAAUGAAAGUUCUGAACAAAUUUUGUCAAACAAAUUGAGAGACAUUUCUUAUAGAAAACCCUUCCAAGUUUGAAUUGAAAUCAUAAAAUUGUUCAAGGUUUGAAUUGUAAUGGUUUAGUUGUUUCUUGUUAGGACGGUAACUUAAAUUGAUCCUUUGCUGUAGUUUUUUAAAUAUUUCUUGUGAUAGAGUAUGAUAAAGCACAAUAUCAGACAAUCCACUAACACAAUAUCUGUAAAACAAAAAUAAUAAAAUGGCAACAAUUCACCUACAACUUGCAACCAUUAACUGGGACUACAAUAGCUCAAGUUUGAUCACAAAACAUACUGUUAACCACACUAGAUCGCUUUGCUAGCUGUUGGGGCAACAGAACCUACAGAGCUUUGCCAGAGUCAAAGUUAUCAAAAAUCAUAAUUGACCAUAAUCAAUUUCGAAAUGUAUGAAUUAUGCACUACUCUGGAAAAGUAUAUAUUUGUCAUCAAAUGUUCAAAUGCAGGUUCAUUUUUCAAUUUCUCUUUGGUCAAUUCAUUCUACCAUUGCAGACAAGUUCACAAUGGCUUGGGAUGAUGGUGAGUGCCAGCAUAAAACCCCUGUGCAUAAGCAGUAUUCUUGAACAUUAUCUGCAAUAAAUAACACACUCGUGAAUGCUUCUGUGACCAAAUGCCCUAUCAUAAAGGUAACCACCAUGCUUAAUAAGAAAUUAUGCAAGCCAUCUCAAGAAUUGAGACAGAAUUACAGCAGAAAACCAUACAUGUUCCUUCAAGCAAUGCCAUAUGACAGUAAAUUUUACUUCAUAACUAAUAAGAAAUGAUGAAUACUCACAGCAAGGCUUUUCAAAUCUGAGCUAAGACGCUUUUUAAUAUCGUCAGCAACCACGGUUCCAAGAUGUUCACCAUGUUGCCUGAUAGAGUCCUCUUUAAUCUCUGACAGCAGAAGACUGGAAGUUCUAUUCAGAAUCUCUUCCACAAGAAGCCCAGCAUCUGAGAAAACACUUGGCUGAUGUGCAGCAACAGCUAGCUUGUCUUUAACAUUUUUUACAGCAACAGGUACCUUGGUAGUUUUUACUGUAGUAGCUGUGGACUUCUUAUAGGCAGAAACAGGAUUUUCAGUAUGACCUUGCAAGGGAACAGUCUUUUCCGGAGGAUCAGACAGAAUAGUGGAACCAGAUGGAACAAAAGCUGCCAGAUCAGGAGGUUGAUCCUUUCCUACUGGUGGAUUAGCCUCCAGGUCAACGAAUGUGGCCUCUCUCCCCACUGACUUAAGAAACUUGUCAAGAUCAUUAGCAUGAAGAGAAAUUGACAUAUCAUUAGAUAGUGGAUGGAAGAAGCAAUGCUCUUGUGUUCUAAAUCCUUUGUCCAGCAAGAGUGACACAUGUCUUGCUGACUCAUUCACCAGUGCAAAAGGAGUAACACAACCCAGAGGAACCUUGAAAAGCAAAAACACAGAACAUCAGAAAGCAAGUUGAACUUCCAGACUAUACACUUAUUAAUUGAAGCAUAAUAAAAAUGUGACCUUUUUUAUUUUGAGUGAUAAAAAAAACUUGAUCAGUACACAUGAAAUUAAAUUUGAAUGCUAAUAAAUACAGUAAAUAAUAGCCAGCAUUUGCUCAUCCAUCUAUUGAGCUUUGCAAAGACUGGAACGCUAUUGCCAUUUCAAUGCAUCAUGGCUUUCAUUGCAGUCAAAUAUACCAGGUUUGAAGGAUGGGUACACCAGAUUAGAAUUUAAGAAAUCACAAUAACUCCAAUGAUAAGUACUAAAGAGAAAAAAUAACGAGAAAUAUGUAAAUUUGAGCAGUAAGUAUGGGGCAUUGCAAGAAAGAGGCAUGUACCUGAAGUAUCUCACCCAAUGCUUCUUCAGGAGCCAUUCUUAUACCUCCUUUUCCCAAACCAAGCCUUUGAGAUAAAACUGCUCAGCCCUUUGCAUAAGUAACAGCCUUUAAUAUCCAACAAACUAAUAAAAUUACAAGAUAAAAAAUCUAAACUUGGUCAAGCACUAAUCAGAGCAAGCCUGUAACAUCUCCAUCUCAAGCCCAUAAUGUCACGAGGUGAAAAAAAAAAUAGAAGUUAGAGGACAAUAUUCACCUUUCAUGUCUACUUUCGUAUCUGCCAAAGCAGAAACAAUAUAUAAUCUACUUUUCUUGUCCUUCAAGAAUAAAUUUUUAGUCAGUCCACCUCCCUUAUCACCCACAUAUUUCGCCUGGGCUUCAACAGUCAAAACGGUGGGAUGUUCAUACUGAGCAAAAUCAAUUUGAAGCUCCUUUAAGCGAGCAAGUAGCUGAUCCUUCGUAUAACCCAUACCGUCCUUCGAAGUAAAUCUGCUUGACGAACCAGAGAGGCCGAAGAAGCGUUAGCAACGAAGAAGAAACGUAGAAG
This 3059-nucleotide unclassified non-coding RNA is filed under the name Hevea brasiliensis (rubber tree). The record is from RNAcentral. Lineage: Eukaryota; Viridiplantae; Streptophyta; Magnoliopsida; Malpighiales; Euphorbiaceae.